CAGCCGCCGCGGUAAUACGAAGGGUGCAAGCGUUACUCGGAAUUACUGGGCGUAAAGCGUGCGUAGGUGGUGGUUUAAGUCCGUUGUGAAAGCCCUGGGCUCAACCUGGGAAUUGCAGUGAAUACUGGGUCACUAGAGUGUGGUAGAGGAUAGUGGAAUUUCCGGUGUAGCAGUGAAAUGCGUAGAGAUCGGAAGGAACAUCUGUGGCGAAGGCGACUAUCUGGGCCAACACUGACACUGAGGCACGAAAGCGUGGGGAGCAAACAGGAUUAGAUACCCCUGUAGUCCCUGUCUCUUAUAA
RNAcentral lists this ribosomal RNA (301 nucleotides) under uncultured bacterium. RNAcentral describes it as "partial 16S ribosomal RNA". It matches the Rfam family "Bacterial small subunit ribosomal RNA", at positions 509 to 809 of the family's 1533-position model. The record is from RNAcentral.